RNAcentral lists this small RNA (404 nucleotides) under Histoplasma capsulatum. RNAcentral's name for it is "hypothetical RNA". RNAcentral also lists the same sequence under 1 other name. The record is from RNAcentral. Lineage: Eukaryota; Fungi; Ascomycota; Eurotiomycetes; Onygenales; Ajellomycetaceae.
GGGGUCUGUGUGGAGCGUUGUGCAAGAGAGGAUAGGCGUUUCUGUUCAGUGGAUAAUUCUGGCGCAUCCCUCAGGGCCACAGCGACAACUUAAUGAUAGUCAGAAUCCAAAUCUGAAUACCACCCAGCGGCCGAAUAAAGGCAAGGGACGUGUUCCCAUCUUCCCUGGAAUUGGCCAAGUGCGAAUGUGGGCAUCGCUUUAAGAAAUGUGGCAGAGGAAUGAGGGGAGGUUGCUGGGCUAUUUAUUUGAGAUUUUGGAUUUGCUUGUCACUAUGUUACCUUAAUCAUCUGUUGUAUUAUUGGUUUUGUCAUUAUUGUCGAUUAUUUAUUUGGCUUUCCCCUGGAAUUUAUGGAUUUGUGCUUUUCUUUCGCCCUCUCCCCAUUGUGUUCGAAGUAGGUUACCAU